RNAcentral lists this ribosomal RNA (441 nucleotides) under uncultured Acidimicrobiales bacterium. RNAcentral describes it as "bacterial SSU rRNA". It matches the Rfam family "Bacterial small subunit ribosomal RNA", at positions 338 to 795 of the family's 1533-position model. Lineage: Bacteria; Bacillati; Actinomycetota; Acidimicrobiia; Acidimicrobiales. The record is from RNAcentral.
CCUACGGGGGGCUGCAGUGGGGAAUCUUGCGCAAUGGGCGAAAGCCUGACGCAGCAACGCCGCGUGCGGGAUGAAGGCCUUCGGGUUGUAAACCGCUUUCAGCAGGGACGAAGAUGACGGUACCUGCAGAAGAAGCCCCGGCCAACUACGUGCCAGCAGCCGCGGUAACACGUAGGGGGCGAGCGUUGUCCGGAUUUAUUGGGCGUAAAGAGCUCGUAGGCGGUUCCGUCAGUCGGGUGUGAAAACUCUGGGCUCAACCCAGAGACGCCACCCGAUACUGCGGUGACUAGAGUCCGGUAGGGGAGUGCGGAAUUCCUGGUGUAGCGGUGAAAUGCGCAGAUAUCAGGAGGAACACCAACGGCGAAGGCAGCACUCUGGGCCGGUACUGACGCUGAGGAGCGAAAGCGUGGGGAGCGAACAGGAUUAGAUACCCUGGUAGUC